GUAGAAUAUUCUUUGAUUUAUAGAA
This 25-nucleotide non-coding RNA is filed under the name Cricetulus griseus (Chinese hamster). The record is from RNAcentral. Lineage: Eukaryota; Metazoa; Chordata; Mammalia; Rodentia; Cricetidae.